This 21-nucleotide unclassified non-coding RNA is filed under the name Mus musculus (house mouse). RNAcentral's name for it is "oocyte_clustered_small_RNA3049". Lineage: Eukaryota; Metazoa; Chordata; Mammalia; Rodentia; Muridae. The record is from RNAcentral.
AAUAGCGCGCACCCAGUGAGA